GGGCGCAAGCCUGAUGCAGCGACGCCGCGUGAGGGAUGACGGCCUUCGGGUUGUAAACCUCUUUCAGUAGGGAAGAAGCGAAAGUGACGGUACCUGCAGAAGAAGCGCCGGCUAACUACGUGCCAGCAGCCGCGGUAAUACGUAGGGCGCAAGCGUUAUCCGGAAUUAUUGGGCGUAAAGAGCUCGUAGGCGGUUUGUCGCGUCUGCCGUGAAAGUCCGGGGCUCAACUCCGGAUCUGCGGUGGGUACGGGCAGGCUAGAGUGAUGUAGGGGAGACUGGAAUUCCUGGUGUAGCGGUGAAAUGCGCAGAUAUCAGGAGGAACACCGAUGGCGAAGGCAGGUCUCUGGGCAUUAACUGACGCUGAGGAGCGAAAGCAUGGGGAGCGAACAGGAUUAGAUACCCUGGUAGUCCAUGCCGUAAACGUUGGGCACUAGGUGUGGGGGACAUUCCACGUUUUCCGCGCCGUAGCUAACGCAUUAAGUGCCCCGCCUGGGGAGUACGGCCGCAAGGCUAAAACUCAAAUGAA
This 526-nucleotide ribosomal RNA is filed under the name Pseudarthrobacter phenanthrenivorans. Its description in RNAcentral is "bacterial SSU rRNA". It matches the Rfam family "Bacterial small subunit ribosomal RNA", at positions 373 to 909 of the family's 1533-position model. Lineage: Bacteria; Bacillati; Actinomycetota; Actinomycetes; Micrococcales; Micrococcaceae. The record is from RNAcentral.